RNAcentral lists this ribosomal RNA (253 nucleotides) under uncultured bacterium. Its description in RNAcentral is "partial 16S ribosomal RNA". It matches the Rfam family "Bacterial small subunit ribosomal RNA", at positions 524 to 776 of the family's 1533-position model. The record is from RNAcentral.
UACGUAGGGGGCGAGCGUUGUCCGGAUUUAUUGGGCGUAAAGAGCGUGUAGGCGGCCAGGUAGGUCUGCUGUGAAAACUCGAGGCUCAACCUCGAGACGUCGGCGGAAACCAUCUGGCUAGAGUCCGGAAGAGGAGAGUGGAAUUCCCGGUGUAGUGGUGAAAUGCGUAGAUAUCGGGAGGAACACCAGUGGCGAAGGCGGCUCACUGGACCGGAACUGACGCUGAGGCGCGAAAGCGUGGGGAGCAAACAGG